This 424-nucleotide long non-coding RNA is filed under the name Taeniopygia guttata (zebra finch). Its description in RNAcentral is "lncRNA (ENSTGUG00000025714.1)". Lineage: Eukaryota; Metazoa; Chordata; Aves; Passeriformes; Estrildidae. The record is from RNAcentral.
GAUUUCUUGAUCUUCCUGUCUCUUCUAGUCAGUUCAAAAAUACGGGACACUAGGAUCUAUCAAAGCUUGCUACAGCCAGCUGUGAGAGACAUUUGGGCAGAAGACAUCACUUGGACAGUGUGUAAGUGAACAGCAUUAAUGCUUCCACUCUGGAGCUCUGCAUCAGGCUUUCUUCUGAAAAGCUCCCUUGCUGAAGUGUCAGGAGAAAGGAGCUGUGCUAAGUGUUGCCAGACUGGUUCUCUGGAGAAACGGAACAAUUCUUUUACAAUGCAACAAAGCAUUGAUUUUAAGCAAGCAAGACAUGUGCAAAGCAAACGUGCCCAGGAGCUGAACUGCACAAAUGACUGCAGUUCCUGGCCUUCCCUGAGGUGGCUGAGAGGCUUCUGGCAGAGCUGUGCAGCCCUCCUUUCCCUGGAUGAACUGC